Molecule: ribosomal RNA, 253 nt
Filed under: uncultured bacterium
Lineage: Bacteria
Description: partial 16S ribosomal RNA
Rfam family: Bacterial small subunit ribosomal RNA
Source: RNAcentral
UACGUAGGGUGCAAGCGUUGUCCGGAAUUAUUGGGCGUAAAGGGCUCGUAGGCGGUCCAUCGCGUCGGGAGUGAAAAGCUGGGGCUUAACCUCAGUCCUGCUUCCGAUACGGGUGGACUAGAGGUAGGUAGGGGAGAACGGAAUUCCUGGUGUAGCGGUGAAAUGCGCAGAUAUCAGGAAGAACACCAAUGGCGAAGGCAGCUCUCUGGGACGGUACUGACGCUGAGACGCGAAAGCGUGGGGAGCGAACAGG